RNAcentral lists this non-coding RNA (76 nucleotides) under human gut metagenome. Its description in RNAcentral is "Cyclic di-GMP-I riboswitch". It matches the Rfam family "c-di-GMP-I riboswitch aptamer", at positions 7 to 83 of the family's 87-position model. Rfam says of the family: GEMM was predicted in a large-scale screen for bacterial structured RNA regulatory elements. Genes associated with GEMM are involved in a diverse array of functions, including chemotaxis regulation, signal transduction, secretion and chitin. The record is from RNAcentral.
CUAACGGCAAAGUUAUCGAAAGGUAAUGACGCAAAACUCUAGAGCCUAAGGUAUUUACACUAUGGUAGUCAGCUGC